UGGGCGCAAGCCUGAUGCAGCGACGCCGCGUGAGGGAUGAAGGCCUUCGGGUUGUAAACCUCUUUCAGCAGGGAAGAAGCGCAAGUGACGGUACCUGCAGAAGAAGCGCCGGCUAACUACGUGCCAGCAGCCGCGGUAAUACGUAGGGCGCAAGCGUUGUCCGGAAUUAUUGGGCGUAAAGAGCUCGUAGGCGGUUUGUCGCGUCUGGUGUGAAAACUCGAGGCUCAACCUCGAGCUUGCAUCGGGUACGGGCAGACUAGAGUGCGGUAGGGGAGACUGGAAUUCCUGGUGUAGCGGUGGAAUGCGCAGAUAUCAGGAGGAACACCGAUGGCGAAGGCAGGUCUCUGGGCCGCAACUGACGCUGAGGAGCGAAAGCAUGGGGAGCGAACAGGAUUAGAUACCCUGGUAGUCCAUGCCGUAAACGUUGGGCACUAGGUGUGGGGCUCAUUCCACGAGUUCCGUGCCGCAGCAAACGCAUUAAGUGCCCCGCCUGGGGAGUACGGCCGCAAGGCUAAAACUCAAAGGAAUUGACGGGGGCCCGCACAAGCGGCGGAGCAUGCGGAUUAAUUCGAUGCAACGCGAAGAACCUUACCAAGGCUUGACAUGCACCGGGAAAGCCAC
RNAcentral lists this ribosomal RNA (621 nucleotides) under Isoptericola variabilis. RNAcentral describes it as "bacterial SSU rRNA". It matches the Rfam family "Bacterial small subunit ribosomal RNA", at positions 372 to 1001 of the family's 1533-position model. The record is from RNAcentral. Lineage: Bacteria; Bacillati; Actinomycetota; Actinomycetes; Micrococcales; Promicromonosporaceae.